CAAGCCUGUUUCAGGAAGAAAAAAAUGAUAAAUACAUGAGAAAAUAUGAAAAUAACAGAGAAUUCAGCAUUUCUGGACAGCAUCUGAGGGUUUUCCAUCUUUAACCACAGUUGGUUUGGAGCCAUCAGCAUGUGACAGCAGAUCUUCUUCUCCAUCUUCAUCAUCCUCACAAACAUGCUGCUACCAUCAAGGCCUCUGUCCCAUUUCUUCAAGUAUGCAACUAUGUGGCCUAUGAACUGAUGUGGGAAGUGACUAUGAAGCUGUGAACUAUUGCCAAGUCCACAUUUGCUCAGAAUCUUCCCCUUCUUUCCUUCUGAGUCAAAGCAGCAGCUGCGGUGAUCUUUGUUCAGCUCCAGGCUGUCAGGCAGCAGUUUGUGGAUGAAGAGCUGAUGAAGACGCUGGUUGGACUUUGGAGACCAGAGGAGCUCUUUAGUCCACGGAGGCUGUUGGUCUGACAUGAGGACCGUCACUGAUCCACCAACUGCUAGAAUAAGGAGAAAAAUGGCUUUUCACUGCCUUUGUUCAUUGGAUUUGGCAGCUGGAAUAUUUUCUGAUUAAACUCAGAAAAUUAAAAAUAAAAUAAGUUUUUCUUCUG
Molecule: long non-coding RNA, 595 nt
Organism: Fundulus heteroclitus (mummichog)
Lineage: Eukaryota; Metazoa; Chordata; Actinopteri; Cyprinodontiformes; Fundulidae
Exons: 2
Source: RefSeq, a predicted model, not a curated record